AACGAACGCUGGCGGCAUGCCUAACACAUGCAAGUCGAACGAGACCUUCGGGUCUAGUGGCGCACGGGUGCGUAACGCGUGGGAACCUGCCCUUAGGUUCGGAAUAACUCCCCGAAAGGGGUGCUAAUACCGGAUAAUGUCUUCGGACCAAAGAUUUAUCGCCUUUGGAUGGGCCCGCGUUGGAUUAGCUGGUUGGUAGGGUAAAAGCCUACCAAGGCGACGAUCCAUAGCUGGUCUGAGAGGAUGAUCAGCCACACUGGGACUGAGACACGGCCCAGACUCCUACGGGGAGCAGCAGUGGGGAAUAUUGGACGAUGGGCGAAAGCCUGAUCCAGCAAUGCCGCGGGAGUGAUGAAGGCCGUAGGGUUGUAAAGCUCUUUUACCCGGGAUGAUAAUGACAGUACCGGGAGAAUAAGCUCCGGCUAACUCCGUG
Molecule: ribosomal RNA, 433 nt
Filed under: uncultured bacterium
Lineage: Bacteria
Description: partial 16S ribosomal RNA
Rfam family: Bacterial small subunit ribosomal RNA
Source: RNAcentral